UACGUAGGCAGCGAGCGUUGUUCGGAGUUACUGGGCGUAAAGGGUGCGUAGGCGGCCGAUUAAGUUUGUCGUGAAAUCUCCCGGCUUAACUGGGAGGGUGCGGCGGAUACUGACCGGCUCGAGUGUGGGAGAGGAGAGUGGAAUUCCUGGUGUAGCGGUGAAAUGCGUAGAUAUCAGGAGGAACACCGGCGGUGUAGACGGCUCUCUGGACCAUAACUGACGCUGAGGCACGAAAGCGUGGGUAGCAAACAGG
Molecule: unclassified non-coding RNA, 253 nt
Filed under: uncultured Solibacteraceae bacterium
Lineage: Bacteria; Pseudomonadati; Acidobacteriota; Terriglobia; Bryobacterales; Solibacteraceae
Description: contains 16S-23S intergenic spacer region
Rfam family: Bacterial small subunit ribosomal RNA
Source: RNAcentral